GACGUAGGGGGCGAGCGUUGUCCGGAAUUACUGGGCGUAAAGAGCUCGUAGGCGGCCUGUUAAGUCGGAUGUGAAAGCCCCCGGCUCAACCGGGGAAUUGCAUCCGAUACUGGCAGGCUAGAGUCUGGUAGAGGGAGGUGGAAUUCCCGGUGUAGCGGUGAAAUGCGCAGAUAUCGGGAGGAACACCGGUGGCGAAGGCGGCCUCCUGGGCCAUGACUGACGCUGAGGAGCGAAAGCUGGGGGAGCGAACAGG
This 253-nucleotide ribosomal RNA is filed under the name uncultured bacterium. Its description in RNAcentral is "partial 16S ribosomal RNA". It matches the Rfam family "Bacterial small subunit ribosomal RNA", at positions 524 to 776 of the family's 1533-position model. The record is from RNAcentral.